GGGCGAUUAGCUCAGUUGGCUAGAGCGUCUGCCUUACACGCAGAAGGUCACAGGUUCAAGUCCUGUAUCGCCCA
RNAcentral lists this transfer RNA (74 nucleotides) under Planctomycetota bacterium. RNAcentral describes it as "tRNA-Val". It matches the Rfam family "tRNA". Rfam says of the family: Transfer RNA (tRNA) molecules are approximately 80 nucleotides in length. Their secondary structure includes four short double-helical elements and three loops (D, anti-codon, and T loops). Further hydrogen bonds mediate the characteristic L-shaped molecular structure. tRNAs have two regions of fundamental functional importance: the anti-codon, which is responsible for specific mRNA codon recognition, and the 3' end, to which the tRNAs corresponding amino acid is attached (by aminoacyl-tRNA synthetases). tRNAs cope with the degeneracy of the genetic code in two manners: having more than one tRNA (with a specific anti-codon) for a particular amino acid; and 'wobble' base-pairing, i.e. permitting non-standard base-pairing at the 3rd anti-codon position. Lineage: Bacteria; Pseudomonadati; Planctomycetota. The record is from RNAcentral.